This 3621-nucleotide long non-coding RNA is filed under the name Sus scrofa (pig). Its description in RNAcentral is "lncRNA (ENSSSCG00015015358.1)". Lineage: Eukaryota; Metazoa; Chordata; Mammalia; Artiodactyla; Suidae. The record is from RNAcentral.
CCUGUUUGGGUUCAACUUGUUUGGGGCCCUCUGUGCUUCCUGUAACUCUAUAUCAGUAUGCUUUAGAUUUGGAACAUUUUCUGCCACAAUUUCUUCAAAUAUAUUUUCAAUCCCCUUUUCUUUUUCUUUUCCUUCCAGAAUUCCUAUUAUGCAUAGUUUGGCCUGCUUUAUAUUAUCCCAUAUUUUUCAUAUUUUUUCAUUUGGUUUUCUGUCCGCUGUCCUGUUUGGGUAAUUUCCGUUAUUCUAUCUUCCACAUCACUAAUUUGUUCCUCUCCAUUAUUCAUUCUGGCCUUUAUUGCCUUAAGCUCAGGUUGUAUCUCUGCAAAUGAGUUUUCUAGUUUUUAUUGGCUCCUCCUUAUAUUUUCUAGUUCUUUUCUGAGGGAAUCUGCAUUACUGUUCAUAUCUUCUGUUAAUACCUUUAGUAUUUUCACUGUCUCCCUUUUGAACUCAAAGUCUGUCAGACUGCAGAGUUUUGUUUCAUUGUUGACUGCUUUAGGUGAGUUCUCCUGUUGUUUUAACUGGGAAAGGUUUCUGAGUUUUUUCAUCUUGCUUGUGUUUUUCUGUGAAAUAUACCCCUUUGUAUUUUUGGAGGGGUUACUAUUUAUUUUUGGUGUGGGAGUUUGAAUCUUUGCUAUCUCUUUCUUCUGUGCAAGCAGUCUGUUAUCCCCAGGAUGCUCAGUGUGUUUUUGGGAAGAAGGGAGCAAUGGGUAGGGCCAGCAUUCACUGCCUGAGUCAUUGGGCUCUCAACAGAAUCAAAGACUUGCAGAAAGGUGGCACAGGUUACUCCUAUUUGCAGGGCCCUGGAAAGUGAUAAUAAGCUCUAGGAGGAUCUGCAAAGUGACCAGAGAAUUUGGCUGUAGCUGCAGCAGGGUGCAUGUGUUCCCAGGGGGUUGAGAGCAACAACAGCUUAUGUUUGAUUGCAAUGCCCUCCUCUGAGGUAAUUGGAACUGCAGGUGGUGCCUGUUCAGGAACCCCUAGUGGGAGUGGGCCAUGACCAUCUCUAGUUUCAGUGAUUACUGCGGUCGUGUGUCUCCAUCACCUGUAGACCAUGCAUGAGGUGAUCCAUAUUACUUAGCCCACAUAGGAAGUGCUGUACAGGCUGUUCCUAGCUGCAGGAUCCUGGGAAGUGACAGAGAUCUCUCAUAUGGGUACUGCCAUGAACAUUCAGCCGUGGCAGCAGCAGGGUUCGUGUGUUCCCAAGGGUGCAAGAGCACCAAUAUUUGAUUCAGUCACAAUGCCUGCCUCUGUGAUGCCCUUGAGGUGAAUGGGGCUGCAAGUGGUGCCUGUUCACUGACUCCUAGUUGGGCCACUGCCACCUCUGGAGCCAGAGAUAACUGCAGCAGUUUUCCCCCACCACCUGUAAAUCAUGCACGAAGCACCUGGUCCUGCUUAGCCCCCACAGGAUGUGCUGAACUAGGUGCUCUUAGUUGCAGGUUCCUAGGAAGGGACAGUGAUCAAGUGUCUGGGCCCCUCCCAGAAUGUUUGGCAGUGGCAGCUACAGUGUGGGUGUGCUCCCUGGGGAGCGAGAGCAACAUCAGGUGCUUUUCCAUUGUAGAGUCCUUCUCUGCGAUGCCCCCUGAAGUGGUUGGGGCUGCAAGUGAUUUUUGUUCAGUUAUUCCCAGUUGUGGUAGGCCAUGCCCACUUCUAGAGUCAGGGAUAAUUGUUGUGGUUUGCUCCUGCCACCUGCAGGUCCAGUCCAUGGUGGUCUAGCAAGCAGUUUCCCACUUCUGGAGACACCAGGCCUGCAGUGGGCUAGCAAGCGACUUCUGGUCGUGAGGGGCUGCACCUGAGAUGCGUAGUCUAGGACCUGCAGGGAUGGGGUGGCCCAGAGUGCUAAGGAGCAGUGGCUUGGCCUCCCGCAGUGGUGGGGGAGGAGGUGGAGGCAGCCCGGAGUGUUACCAACAGCCUGCAGCUUCCCAUGGGGGUGGGGGUGGCCGGAGUGAGGCUUCUGGUCACACCCUUGGGGCAUGCUGUGCUGGGGGAUGCUCUGUCCUCUGUGAGCCAUUGGGGCAAGUGUGUGCUGGGGUGCAAGGAGUUUUCUAUGGCUGCGGCUAGUCCCUUCUCCUCUCCCCUCCCCAACAAUGGCACCUUAUCUCUCCUGUGGCUCCGGACCUUCUCCUGGGUUCCCUCUGCCAUGGCUUUCCACUUCCCAGCCCUUAUGUACCACUUCUCCCACCUAAGGCAGCACUGCUCCCUAGUGCCUUAGGCUGUCUCCACACCACCAAUUCCAGCCCGCUCCCAGGGACUGACCUCCAGAGUCUUAAGUCUCACUGCCAACCCCCACCUGAGCUUCUCAGGCUGUGGUGUCUGCACCAGUGGUUCAGAUGAUCUGUGCUUCUCUCACUCUGCUUUUCAGUUCUCAGUCCAGCUGCUGCGCUUUCCUUGGCGUCUUGGAUAUCUCUCCCACUCUGCUGAUCUUUCCCUUUAUGUGGCUUCUCAGGGUAUGGGUUCCCUUUCUCCUUCACAGCUACCUCUCAGGAAUGCUUGUCCUGUUCUGAUUCCUUUUCUCUCUCCCUUUUUUUCUUUUGUUCUACCCAGUUAUGUCAAGAGUUUCUUGCCCUUUUUGGAGGUUUAAGUUCUUCUGCCAGCAUGCAGUUGACGUCUUGUGUGAGUCGUUUUACAUGUAGAUGUGGUUUUUUCGAGGUGUUUGUGAGAGAGGGUGAGCAUGUCCUCUUACUCUUGCACCAUCUUGUCUGAAUAGUAUUUUGUUUUGUUUUGUUUUGCUUUUUAUGGCCACAUCCAUGGCUGGGGUUGAAUCAGAGCUGUAGCCGCCAGCCUACGCCACACCCCCCAUAGCAACACCAAAUCCUAAGCUGUGUCUGCAACCAACAUCACAGCUCUUGGCAGUGCUGGAUCCUUAACCCACUGAGCAGGGCCAGGGAUCAAACCUGCAUCCUCAUGGAUACUAGUCAGGUUCAUUUCCACUGAGCCACAGUAGGAAAUCUAUGGUUUCCAGAGUUUUUAUUAAGGUGUUUUAAUUAAUGUACUACUUUUUUUUUUUCCCCCUUAUGGAGGAAUAUGACUUGGAACUUCCUAGGCCACAAUAUUCUUGAUGACUUUAUUUUAGUUUUGACUCAAAUGCUUUUAGAAUAUAAUAGAGUAUUGCCAUGUCAAAGGAAAAGACUAAUUUGCUACAUGACUUUUAUGUGUAUCAUGUGGUACCAGUAAGUACCCUGUUAAAUUAAUCUUUAAAAGAAGUUUCAGUAGUUCACUAGUGGUGAAAUAGGUUAAGAAUCUGGCAUUGGCACUGCAGUGGCUCAGGUCACUGCUGAGGCAAGUGUUCGAUCCCUGGCCCAGGAACUUCCACAUGCCACAAGCGUUGCAAUAGAAAAGUUUCAGUAGAUCUGCCAGUUUUUGCUCAUUAAAAAUAAUGCUAUCAGGAGUUCCCGUCGUGGCGCAGUGGUUAACGAAUCCGACUAGGAACCAUGAGGUUGUGGGUUUGGUCCCUGCCCUUGCUCAGUGGGUUAAGGAUCCGGCGUUGCUGUGAACUGUGGUGUAGGUUGCAGACGCGGCUCGUAUCCCGCGUUGCUGUGGCUCUGGCAUAGGCCGAUGGCUACAGCUCCGAUUGGACCCCUAGCCUGGGAACCUCCAUAUGCUGUGGGAGCGGCCCAAAGAAAUAGC